UUGUGCAUUUGUGAUCAUAAACGUCAACGUUACACUGCAGAACUGUCUUAAUUCAGUUAAAGCCCUUGUAGUUUAUAGACUGGUAUUAUUAAAAUUGGCAGACUAUAUUACAGUCCAGAACAUGACAUAAGAAACAAGAAAGUUUAUUUAAAUAAACUAUGCACACACAGAGCUUGUUCAAAUCCAGCUUUGUCUCUGAUAAUCUAAAGCCCCCUUUCUUUAAACGUUCAUGAUGUGCAGGCGAUUAUGUAGGAUCCCUACAAAUUAUUUAUUUAUUCAGACCAUGAAUUUUGUGAAAUGACAAUGAUACAUUAACAGUAACAGUACUAUUUGCAGUUACUAUCGAUAUAUCUUUUUCAAUGUAAUUAUUAUAUGAAUCAUAUCAUGUUUCUGAAAAGGAUUUCUUUGUGAGUGUAUUUUCAAUUUUUUUUUUUGUCUUUUGAAUCCAUCAUAUUUCACUGAAGUGUAUUGACAUGUAAAUUGCAUAUACAUGUUCAUUGCAUAUAAUUUUAUACAAUUUGUUGGGCCUUUUCCCUGCUGUUUUUACACUCUUGUUUACCAAAUUUAUUUUUUCAAUUAAUACUUAAGGUAGUGAAUUUGAAUCAGUGCAUGUCGAGACAUUUUAUACAUUCUUUAUUUGUUUUGUAUGAAUAGUCUAACUGCCAUUUUUCAUGUUUUACAAGACUUUGAUGUAUAGCCAAUUUUUUGUUGAUUUAUAUUCUUUACAAAUCAAUAAAGAGCCUUUUCAUAUA
Molecule: long non-coding RNA, 752 nt
Organism: Rhinichthys klamathensis goyatoka
Lineage: Eukaryota; Metazoa; Chordata; Actinopteri; Cypriniformes; Leuciscidae
Exons: 2
Source: RefSeq, a predicted model, not a curated record